UCCGACACGUAAGAUAAGGGAAUUCGGACGUUAUCCGGAGGUGUUGAAGACCUCAGUUAUCUCAUGAGGGAUCCUGAAUCCGGAUACAGAAUACCCACCUGGUUAUGCAGGG
This 112-nucleotide small RNA is filed under the name Erysipelotrichaceae bacterium. RNAcentral's name for it is "6S RNA". The record is from RNAcentral. Lineage: Bacteria; Bacillati; Bacillota; Erysipelotrichia; Erysipelotrichales; Erysipelotrichaceae.